RNAcentral lists this transfer RNA (58 nucleotides) under Phycisphaerales bacterium. RNAcentral's name for it is "tRNA-Leu". It matches the Rfam family "tRNA". From Rfam's summary of the family: Transfer RNA (tRNA) molecules are approximately 80 nucleotides in length. Lineage: Bacteria; Pseudomonadati; Planctomycetota; Phycisphaerae; Phycisphaerales. The record is from RNAcentral.
GGGCGUUUAGCGCCUCCCUUACAGGAGGAGGUCGUCGGUUCAAGUCCGGCAUCGCCCA